AAACAGUCCUCUAUGUAUUGGAUCUUUGGCAGUUUUGGCCCCCAAGGCCACUUUUAACUUAGUCUUCGCUGACGUGGCACCCACAAUGGUCAACACAUGGCACCUCACUUAAGGGAUGUAGGUGCCACGCCAGCGAAGACUAAGUCAAAAGUGGCUUUCGGGGCCAAAACUGCUAAAGAUUCAAUACAUAGGAGGCUGUUU
MicroRNA precursor from Medicago truncatula (barrel medic), 201 nucleotides. It matches the Rfam family "MIR2619 microRNA precursor family". The record is from Rfam. Lineage: Eukaryota; Viridiplantae; Streptophyta; Magnoliopsida; Fabales; Fabaceae.